RNAcentral lists this long non-coding RNA (751 nucleotides) under Hordeum vulgare. RNAcentral's name for it is "long non-coding RNA (HVUL_LNC011486)". The record is from RNAcentral. Lineage: Eukaryota; Viridiplantae; Streptophyta; Magnoliopsida; Poales; Poaceae.
UUCUUCCCUGUCCAUCGACAUGCAUCUAUGAAUAUCGAAAAUUAUGCACUGACAUCAAUUUCCAAAGGUGCACAAAUCCAGUUUAAUUUGAGUGCAAGUCCAGUUUUAUUCGAGUGCAAGUAGGUGGUAUAUACACGAGAUGAUAUGUACUGUAUAAGGUCGUACAUAUCAGUAGAGUAACUUGUGAUGAUACAUCAGAUACAUAGAAGGAGGCAGGCAUGCAUGCAUGCAUAUAAUAUAAGCAUCUAGGCCGCCCGUUCGGUUCUUCAUCCUUCAUCCUUGCAUUGUUUUGGAAGAUGGGGGGGUCUGCGCACGGGUGUAAUCAGGGUUGGCCACCUGCCGGUGGUCUACAUCCGUAAACUGUGCGGCACCCACGGCCGGUGUAGGGUUUACCAGGCGGCGACGGGAAAACAGGAUGGUUUGGGUCAUUGCUACCACUACCGGUGCCUGGACCUGGACGGGGAACCAUGGACGUUCGUUAUUCAGCAGAUCAUCAUAACUAGUUAAUCAAUUCAAGAACGUUUUAAAGGGAGAAGUAGUUAAGUAUUGUGGACUGACCAAUUACUACAGUGCCGGUGCCGUCGUGGCCACCGGCGGCAAGGCAGACGGAGCUGUUGAUGAUGACCGCCGUGACGACGACGAAGAGAGCGAUCUGCAGGAGCACCGUGGGACGACGGCCAGCAGAAGCCAUGCUGAUGAUUCGAGGCUGCUAGCUGAUGAUUGUUUGAGCGAGGGGUUGAGAACUAUAUAU